UCUUAUUAAGAGCAGGUGGAGGGACUAGCCCAAUGAAGCCCGGCAACCGACUUACAAAAUGUGAGCACGGUGCUAAUUCUUGCAGCGUUUAGCUGAGAGAUAAGA
Molecule: non-coding RNA, 105 nt
Filed under: uncultured Ferdinandcohnia sp.
Lineage: Bacteria; Bacillati; Bacillota; Bacilli; Caryophanales; Bacillaceae
Description: SAM riboswitch (S box leader)
Rfam family: SAM riboswitch aptamer (S box leader)
About the family: The SAM riboswitch is found upstream of a number of genes which code for proteins involved in methionine or cysteine biosynthesis in Gram-positive bacteria. The SAM riboswitch acts at the level of transcription termination control. The predicted structure consists of a complex stem-loop region followed by a single stem loop terminator region.
Source: RNAcentral